Long non-coding RNA from Stegastes partitus (bicolor damselfish), 327 nucleotides. RefSeq lists it as uncharacterized. The record is from RefSeq and is a predicted model, not a curated record. NCBI's taxonomy places the organism in Eukaryota, Metazoa, Chordata, Actinopteri, Pomacentridae. The transcript is spliced from 3 exons.
UUUUUAGGAAGCUGCGGAGUUUUAAUGUUAACAGCUGGAGUGUGUGUCAGUGGUUCUCCUGCGAAGAUGGCUGCGCCCGUGGACCUGGAGCUGAAGAAGGUACCGUUCACACAACCUCGAGUCACCUGGUCUCACCUGUCAGUCUGUCUGCAACCAGCCGCAGCGGUGUCAUUAAAACACUGAGUUAGCAGCAGCUAACACCGGAGCUAACUCACAGUUAGCAGCAGCAGCAGCUAACACCGGAGCUAACUCACGGUUAGCAGCAGCAGCAGCAGCUAACACCGGAGCUAACUCACGAUUAGCAGCAGCAGCUAACACCGGAGCUAA